Long non-coding RNA from Marmota monax (woodchuck), 9453 nucleotides. RefSeq lists it as uncharacterized. The transcript has 5 exons. NCBI's taxonomy places the organism in Eukaryota, Metazoa, Chordata, Mammalia, Rodentia, Sciuridae. The record is from RefSeq and is a predicted model, not a curated record.
UCUCCACAGGCCCCGCAGUGAGGGCGUGGCUCCCAGGUUCCACGUCCUGCGAGAGGGGACCAUGGCCCGGGGCUCAGCAGCCUCCUCUGGGUGCCGGGCAGCCUGCGGAGAGAACACGGGAAGAGAGCUUGAAGAGGGCUGGGGGCACCCUGGAAAGUCUGGAGGGUCUGUGAAGGAUGGGUCACCUGUUACCCAGCCCUGCAGCCUCAGUUGCAACAUCUCCCAAGGACCCUGGGCUGGCAGGACGAAAUGGGUUCUUUCUCCAUUCGGGGGGUGCUUGUUCCUGAAUAUGGAGUGCUCAGAUGUGUCUGGGGCACUCUGAAGAGACCUCACGUCUGAGCCCCUCCUCCCGAGCCUGGCAGCAGGAAGGUAUGGCGGGCCACUGCCCCACAUGGAAGAAGCACUGGGAGCUAGCAACAUCCUGAUUGCCCUGGGAAGGGCUGUACCCAAUUUACACCAUCCUUGGCCGCAUGUUUGCAUGAGAACGACUUUCCAUGCUGAGUUACAGCUUUUCUCUGGGAUCUGGAAUCCAUACCCUGGCUGGCUCUCCUGCGAGGCACAUACGGAGAUGCCUGAGUGACGGCUGUCAAGAGAGGGGAGUGGCUGGCUCUGCCUGGGAGCAUUUGUCAGCUGGGUGGGGCCAGGUGGGGUCCUGCCUGCUCUUAAGCCCCCAGCUACUUCCCAGGUGGGUCCCCCCACCCUGCUGUCAACCCCUGGGAGGAUCGUCCACUGUGCUCCGACAUCACUUCUGCUCUCCCCCGUCCAGGCCCUGGAUGCUGGCAUCUGGCAAUAAGUGAAUCAGUCACUGCUGGAAAGAAAAUCCCUGAGAGGUGGGGUCAGGGGAGUCCCCAGGCCAGGGAAGCCCAGAGCUCUGAGAAAACCACAGCCCAGCCCCCACCACCCCCUCGCCUCUCAGCACUGUCCCUGCCCUUCCACUGUGGCGUGGGUGGCCCUGGCCAGCACCAUGGUAGCCAGGCUGGGCCGGCCUCCUGGCCUCCUGCUCUGGGAGUGGCCCGUGUUUGCAGAUGGCAACGGAAGUUUUGACGCUGAUGAUCCACCAGCCACCCACGGCUCUCUCUCUCCUGGUUCUUAGUCAUUCUCACAAGGCUCAACCGCCCGGCCACCCCACGGACGUCACAGCAUCCAGGUGACAGGGAAGAAGGGAGCAGGAUCGCUGUGGCUUCGGUGGCUUCCCGGAGAGGGGAGGCCUAGCGACGAGCAGCACUGAAACUCCAUUACAGGUCCAGCACACUCCACAAGGGGAUCUAACGGAAACACCUUCUGAGGCCUUCUGAGCUGGCAGAGGCUAUCUGCCUGGUGUGAUCUAUGACACUGUUGUGUUUCCUGAUAACACCCAGCUCGGCUUCUCCUGCCAAGCUCAUAAAAGAAAGAAGAUAAGCCCACACUUGUCCUGCAAAGGAUUGCUGGAGGAUGAAUGAGCCAAGGCACACAGGAGGCGCUCAAUACAUGCAGCACUUCUUAGGGGCCGGUUAUGUGCCCGAGUACUGUGGGAGGCACCUUCAUUCUGAGAAAUAGUGGCCUGGCCUCUUCAGAAGUGUCAAUGUCAUGAAACACACAGAAGCCCUCAGGGACUGCUCCAGAUGGAAGGAGACCGAAGAGAGACAAGUGCUCACAAAACCUGAGUGUGAGCUUCUGUUUGCCUCAGAGGACACUCUUGGGACCACUGGCAAAUCCCCGUGUGGACUGACAGUGCGAUGGUCAUGGGGUUUUGACAUUCAUUUCCUGAUUCUGAUGGUUGCACACUGGUUAUCAGAGAGAACGUCUUGCUUUUAGGGACACACGCUGACGGAUUUGAGGGGAGCGAGGCAGGUGUGCGUCCUCCUCUUGAAUAGUUCAGGGGAAGAAAAAAUGUUAACAUGAAAGUAGUCACCGGUUAACGCUCGGGAAAAAGUUAAAAGAAAUGGUGGAGGAGGGUAUUUGGGAAUUCUUUGUAUUAUUUUUGCAACUUUUCUGUAAUUAUAAAAGUCGAGAGAGAGAGAGAGAGAGAGAGAGAGAGAGAGAGAGAGAGAGAGAGAAUAUGAAAAAUAGAGGAAAUGCAUGACCCCUCUCUUGAAAGGUCACAGAGACCUGGCAGGAGGGCAUAUCUUUCUGGUGGCGGGCCUCCAGCAAAGGUGACCAUUAACCUCUGACGUGAUGCUACAAGUGGAAAAUCCCACACCUGACCUCAUGUGACGAGUCACAGAGUGUAGAUGCGCUAAAAAUGUCAAAAUUGCUCAGGAGUCUGAGACUGCAGGAUUGCAAGUUCAAGGUCAGUCUGGGCAAUUUAAAGAGACCCUGUCUCAAAAUAAAAAAUACAAAGGGCUGGGGAUGUAGCUCAGUGGCGGAGCACCCCUGAGUUCAAUCCCUAACAUUGCAAAAUAAAAAAAAAUAAGGAAAUAAAUAAAUGUCAUUCAUACAUACACACACAUAUGUAUGCCUACAUGUAUACACACACACACACACACACAAUUACCUUUAAGCCAUGUGUAUAAGGUAUAUCUGAAGCAAAAGAAUUUCCUGUUUGGUUACCCUCUCUAAAAGAUCUCAUUAUAUAUAUGCAAAUAUUCUAGAAUCUCCCCAAACCCUGAAAUGUGAAACACUCUGAUCCCACAACACUCUGGUUGAAGGGAUCCUCAACCUGCAGAUGAAUGCAGCAGGUGCCUAAUGAACCUCCAGUGCCCCACGUGAGUGAGUCUCUCUGCUGUGGGGGCGGGGAUGGUGUCACCAGGGCUACACCCUCGGUCAGGGCCACGGCAAGUACGUAGGCCAAGGAUAGACUGGACACCAAGAGCUGGGCCAGCAACUUCCUGACAAAAUAAGGUGUUCCCUGCAAACUAACAAGGUCCCGGGUGGCCAGGAGGCCCUUGGCUGAGGUGACCCGAGGCCCCGUGGGUGGAAUGAGGCAGGCAGAAGGGGAGGCCAGCGCUGUCCAGGCCCUCGGGCAAAUAGCUAACCUGCAUCUGCAGCCCACUGGGCCCUGGCGGCAGCGGGACCCCACCCCAAGGAUGAAUGAACAGUGACCGUGGCCAAGGAAUGUGGCCUACAGCGCAGAGCAACGCAGCCCAGCCCGGCCUAGCCCAGUCUGCCUGGCAGGUUGUGGCCCAGCCCCUGCGGGCCACCUCAGGCUGCUGGGCCUCACGGAUGACCUCCUGGGGCCUCCCCUCCUGUGACCUGUCCAGGGGCGAGCGUCACACCUGAGUGGGUGGAGAGGUGCUGUCUUCAGUCCCAUGACUCACCAUCCGCUUCUCUCCCCUCCAGACGCAGGGUGUCAGGGCUACAGCAAGGGUUGUCCCCAGCCUGGAAGGACUCCCAGGAGGGAAAGUGGGGCUUGCACUCGAGCUUUGGGCUCCAUUCAUGAAAGCCGAGAAGCGUGUGAUUACCAGAGGAUACGAGCUUGCCUGCGACAAGCUGCUAAACCCCAGGAGCAGGACGCCACUCCACUUAACACCCGCGGCUGCCGCGGGGCCAGCAGUGACUCAGGCCCUGACCUCGGCCGCCUGCUUAAUUUAGAGCAGUGGCAGCUGCCCCCCUCCCAAAAUUAGCUGCCCUGUUCAGCCUCGGUCCUGCCACUCACGGGCCUCUGAGCGCCGGCACUUUGGAAAUCCAGUGGGCACAGGGCUCUGGGAGGUGUUCUCCACCCAAGUUCAAGUUCAAGUAGUACCAGCUUUGGUGGGAAGUCACUCUCCUCCUCCCACUCACCUCUGGCCUCCAUCGCCUCCUCUGAGACUAUCACAGCCACCAGGCCCAGGGAUCCCUCCCAGGCACAGUCCCCAUUUAUAAGUUGACACUAAAAAGUUUCACAGCACUUCAUUUCCACUCUUAACCCCCAGGAGCCUCCGCGUCCCACAUACAGACACCUUGGUUUCCUCCCUCCUUGUUUUUUUCUUUGCAGUGCUAGGGUUGAACCCAGGGCUUCAUACAUGCCGGGCAAACCCUCUACCACUGAGCCAUAUCCCCUACCCUCCUUUAUUUUUAUUUUGAGACAGGGUCUCACUAAGUGGCCCAAGCUGGCCUCGAACUUUCAAUCCUCCCGCUGCAACCUCCCAAGCUGCUGAGAUUACAGGCGUGCACUAUCACUUCCAGUGGCUGUGCUUCUUUCAAAGAGUGAACUUCUCCAGCUGAUUUCACCAGUUCCCUUGACACGGAUAAUUGAGUUAUUUCGAGUCCCUUGCAACCACAAUGCUUCUCGGAUCAUCCAGGCACCUGGAUCUCUGUUCUCAUGUGUAGCAGGUAUUCCUAGGAGUGGAACUGCUGGCAUUACCAUGUUGGUGUUUGUGCUGGGGUUUGAACCCAGGGCCUUGUGCUUGCUAAGCAGCUACUCUGCCACUGAGCUCCACCCAGCCCCAGCAGAGGAACAUUUUAAAUUUUAGUUAGGAACAACCACACCUUUGAACAUUGAAUGAAAAAUAAGAACUGCGCCUAUGUGAUUAUUUUGCAUUCAAUGUCUGGAUGGAGGCUCACAGACUCCACAUUAAGAAGUCUUAGAAGGGCCAGGAGUGGUAGUGCACGCCUGUAAUCCCAGGGGUUAGGGAGACUGAGGCAGAAAGAUUGCAAGUUCAAAGCCACUUAGGGAGGCCCUAAGCAAGUUAGCAAGACCCUGUCUCAAAAUUAAAAAUAAAAAGGGCUGGGGAUGUGGCUCAGUGCUUAAGCACCCCUGUGUCCAAUCCCUGGUACCCCCAUAUCCCCCCGCAAAAAAGUCUUGGAAGCGAGAACUAGAACUUGUACAGGAAAAUUGUGUCCAGCCUCUGCUCCUGCGAGGGCGUUUGACUCGGUCCCUCCACAGGAAGCCAGCCUGUUCUGCUGUCACCGCUGGAGGAGAUGCAGUUCCGUGCUGAUUCCAGAAGUCAGAUUCUUUGUCACGCUCCACUGCCAGGGCACAUACCUCUCAUAGAUGGCCUCGGGCUCCCAGGAUGUGGCUGUCGCUGUCCGGCAGAAGUGCCAGGCCAGGGUUGCUCCUCCUCAGGGCGCUGGGGUGUGGGGUCCUGGGGCCCUGGUGGCCCCUGCGCAGCUGCCAUCUCGGGACUAUGAAACCGGACCCUGCUCAGGGAAGGCUCCGGGGCUCACACGCUCGUCAGCUGUUAAUAUUUCAGCAGCCACCAAGGACUCAGGUUAACAGACGCCACUUCAGGAAAGCACCGGGCCAAACACGGACCCCGUCAUCUUCCUCUUGGGGUCCACGUGAGACUGCAGGAUUCCACCAGGGAAGGCUAACUGGACAUGCAGCCCGCGGCGGUCAGCCUGGGGCCAGCAGGCUCAGGUGUGACCUCGGUGCCCUUGGGAGCCAGGAGCUUCCCUUGGCCAUGGGCCACAUCCUAGUGACCAGCUGGCUCUGUGUCCACCAUGAAGACGUCGCAAGGGCUCUGGCUGACCAUCCCCUGGGCCGUUCACCUGAUGGUGCCUCACUCAGCACAGUUUCCGCAAAUCUGGAGCCAAACAGCGGCCCCAGCCUGGCACGGUGGAGACACUGGGCACCUGUGACCCUUCCCACUUCCUUCCCCUCUAAGUUCCUGGAGCUCAAACUCUCUCGGUGCCUCACACUGCCCGUGUGACACGUCACAGAGGUCUUCAAGACCACGGCCUCCCUGGUGGUGUGACCAUUUCCAGAAGCAGUGGUGUCAUCUGCCUGGGCUUCAGCAACCAUGAGGCACUGGGUGGAAACUCCCCUGGGCCCUUCCAGUGAGCAGAGACCAUGUCUAGAGAACAUUCUAGAAAACAUGUGUCUCUGACGCUCUGCAGAGGAAGGGACUGAGAACUCCCAUUUCUGGAAUUCCAUGUCAGUUCUAGAAGGUUCUACCUUGAAGACUGAAGCCAUUUUGCCAUGUGUGACUCAUACCAAGAAAAAAUAAAAAAUAAAACCGAGCUUCGACUUCGAGGAUCACGACAUCCCAGAAGCCCCUGGAGCAUCUGGGAGGAGCGACCCCUUGUUUCACCCAACAACACCCGGAGACAAGUUCUGUGUGUGAAACCGUUUUCAGAUGAGGAAAUUGAGGUAUGGAAAGGCCAAACACUUGCCCAAGUUCCCCCGCCGGUGAGCAGCAGGCCCAGGACUUGCUACUCAAGGAGCCGCCCACUUUGGGAGGCUGAGCAGCCUCCCUGAGCAGCCUCCCCAAGGAACAAUGGAUAGAGAAGCAGCCCCACACUCCUCCUCCUGACGAGUGCCUGUCACACAGUGCUUCACCCAUGUCACCUGGUGUCACCUGCCCCCUGAGGUGGCUAGCAUGAUGAUGUCCCUCUCCCAGGCGAGGAAGCCAACCAGCAGCAACCUGCCCAGCGAGUCAGCCGCAGAGCAGGGACUGGCCUAGGGCUGUGCCAUCUUCAGAGCCCUCUCUGGGCAGCGCACGUGGCGGCCCGUGUGCAGACAGCCCUGAGAAAAUGGAGUGAGCCAGUCAGGCCCAGGAGGCGGCGUGGGCUGUGGGAGGGAGCAGGGGCCAAAGCUCGCCUCUGCCUUCACCAAGAUCUGCUCUUCAUGGUCUAGCGAGGUGGCACCUGGCAGGGCCCCUGGCGCUGGGCUGGGGUCUGAGCCUGGCUUCUGGCCCCAGCUCUGCCCUGACAGGUCCAGUCUCUCUGCAGGCCUGGGCAGAGCCCCGAGGACCCUCUGCCCUGAUUGUGAGGCAGGAGCAGGAAGCAGGGUGACAGCACAGACUGCUGCCCACAGUGUCCUUUCAGUAGGUGCCUGAGGAGCAGCCCACUCCCGGGAGGCACUCACCCCUCCCCAAACUAGCCCCUCCACACACAGCACCCCCAGCCCCCGCAGAGGGCAGGGACGGCGGUACCACUGCUGGAGUACCAGCUAGAUACCAGGAGUGACAGGCUGCCUCUGUGCUGGCCACUUGCCAUGGAUUCAAGCAGACACUGUCACUGUACCCAUUUUACACACGAGAAGACUGAAGCUCCGAAAGUCAACUUGCUCAAGGUCACCACCGACCAAACACAAGGCCAGCUGACCCCAGUGGGCACAGUGCCUUGGGCCCACAGCGCUUUGAGGGGCCCAGGAAAAUGUUUAACUUCACUCAAAUCAAAAGAGGAAAAAAUGAACUUUUAAAGUAAAGACAAUGCUUUCAGAUAUAACACUAAUAUAUUCACCUUUAUACCAAUACAGCAGCAAAAUAUAGUUAACAUUUUUUUUUUUCUCUUUUAGUAAAGAAAGGGAUUGACAAAGGCCAAAGUGCCCGGGGUUUGUGGAAGUCACCACAUACUCACAGGCAGAACUUGAACUCAGAGCUGUUCCCUUCAAAGGUCCUGUCUGUCAAAGAAUCCUCCAGUGUCCUCCCAGCCUCUAAGGGGGACAAGCUGGGGGAGCUGAAGGGUCUACCCGUGUCCCUGGGAGCGUCACAGCCAGACACCCAGCUGGCCACAAUCCCAAGUGGGCAAGCUGGCCAGGCUCGAUUCCUGGCCUUCCAAGAAGCUGCUGGAGCAGAGAGACAUUUCAGGAGACUCCUUCAGGGAGAGAAGGCAGAGAACAAAGAGAGCCGGGGUAGGUGCUCACUCCUAAGCCGGAACACAUAGACAAGAAUGAUAAAGAUUAUCUGGAAGAACAUUCCAACUUUUCUUCUUCACUUGAAAGAAAACAGGAGGCAGCCUCCACCAUGGGAAUUCUGCCUAUGAAAGUCCAGGAAUAGCCCAAGGAGACAAAGAGUGCUGGCUUUGAGGGUACCCAGACCUGGGUUGAGUCCAUACUCGGCUAUUUAGUUUGCUAUGUGGCCUUGAAAAAGUUGCUUGACCUUUCUGAUUCCAUUUUCCCUUUUGUAACAUGGGAAUAAUAGCAACCCCAACCCCCAUAGGGGGUUGUAGUGAGAAUUGGCUGAAAUUUAAAAAUUUCUAUAUAGUAAAGCCCUUGCAAGGACUAAAAAAAAAAACCAAAAGAAUAUUCACUUAUUUCUUGGGGAAAGAAAAAAAAAAAACCUGAUUUGGACAACCCUAGGGCCUUGAGCAAUUAUGCCGUGGCCUUGCCUAAGACAUUGAUAAAUCUGUGCAGUAACCAGGGUCACACCGAGGGGUCGACCUCUUUCUCCCUCCAGGUCUUUGAGGGGAGUUUAGAGACGAGGUAGUGAUCUUGCUAAUAAAAGAGGUGACUUGCCUCCAAUUAAGGUGUCACCAGAGUCAGAAAUGCAUCAGCUGGGUGACUUGGUGAUUCAUGCCACUCUUGCGCCUUCCAAGUCCAGGAUUGCUCAACCCACGGCAGAAACCGUGAAAUGAGAGCAAAGGCCUGAGUAACAACCAGGUGAGGGUCCCGCACAGGUGAGCAGCCAUCGGUCUAGCAGGAGGGCCUGUCCCCCGGGAGGCUCAGGGCUAGAGUUAGAAUCACGCCAGGAGGAGGAACCCCCAGAGCUCUUGGCUAGACAGCCUCCCCCCCGAGAACUGCACCUCCCUCCUGCAACCCGGGUCCCAGAGCAGCACAUUUCAAACUGCGCGUGCGCAGGCACAGCCUGGGAUGCCAGUAACACUCGGCUUCAGACUGAGCGGGUCUGGGAUUCUCCUUCCCUUUCCUCCCCUCCUGCCCGUCCCCUCCCUUCCCCUCUGCCCCCUUUUCAUCUCCUUUCCUAGGGCCUUGCCAAGUUGCUGAGGCUGGCUUUGAACUUGUGAUUCUCCUGCCUCAGAAUCCCGAGCUGCUGGGAUUACAGGCGUGCCCCAGAAUUCGUCUGGGCUGAAUUCUGCAUUUCUGACACACUCUGGGCUGGUGCUUCAGAGCAUUAAGGACCCUGACUCUCCUCCUGGCCCCAUGACCUCUUGGGCUGUCCUCCACCAGGAGCCUGGCUCAGCUUUACUCCGAAACGUGGGAUCCGAGGACCCAACUGCACUGCUAAAAACUGGAUCCCUUGGGAUCUCUGUUAUUUGUGGGGAUGCAGGGAUAAAAAAUGGAUUCAACAGCAUGGCUGGCACAUACUGUGAUCUCCAUUACUUGGGGGGCCGAGGUAGAAGGAUGGCAAGUUCAAGCCCAGUCUGGGCAACUUAGCAAACCCCUUGUCGCAAGAUAAAAAUGAAAAGGGCUGGGGACCUAGCUGAGUGGCAGAGCAACUGCCUAGCACACGCGAGGUCCUGGAUUUCAUCUCCAGUGUGUGUAUGUACACACGCAUGUAGCAGGAUAAUUUAUUGAAAAGUUAAAUUUCUUUUCAUCUCAACAUACCUGCUCUACAUACUCUGUUCAGGCAAGUAGCAAGACCCCUUGAUGUCUGCCCUCAACCCCGGUGCUGGGGACUGGAUCCAGGGGUGCUCUUACCACUGAGUUACAUCCCCAGCCUUUUUAUUUUUUUGACACAGGAUCUCACAAAAUUUCCAAAGCUAGCCUUAAACUUGUGAUCCUUCUGCGCUGCUGGAAUGACAGGCGUGCACCACCGUGCGUGGCCUCUGGAUGCCUUCUUGCCCAAGGCUCUCUAAAUUACAACUAAGUACAGAAAUCAGACAAUUCCUUUUAAAAACAGAAGGCUCCAGAUAAAGCUGGGCCCUCUCCCAACA